RNAcentral lists this ribosomal RNA (483 nucleotides) under uncultured bacterium. RNAcentral's name for it is "partial 16S ribosomal RNA". It matches the Rfam family "Bacterial small subunit ribosomal RNA", at positions 28 to 507 of the family's 1533-position model. The record is from RNAcentral.
GACGAACGCUGGCGGCGUGCCUAACACAUGCAAGUCGAGCGGGGAUUUAAGUGGAAGUUCUUCGGAAUGGAGAUUUAAAUUCUAGCGGCGGACGGGUGAGUAACGCGUGAACAAUCUGUCCCGGACAGGGGGAUAACACUUGGAAACAGGUGCUAAUACCGCAUAAGACCACGGCCUCGCAUGGGGCUGAGGUAAAAGGAGCAAUCCGGUUCGGGGUGAGUUCGCGUCCGAUUAGCUAGUUGGUGAGGUAACGGCCCACCAAGGCGACGAUCGGUAGCCGACCUGAGAGGGUGAACGGCCACAUUGGAACUGAGAGACGGUCCAAACUCCUACGGGAGGCAGCAGUGGGGAAUAUUGGGCAAUGGGCGAAAGCCUGACCCAGCAACGCCGCGUGAGGGAAGAAGGUUUUCGGAUUGUAAACCUCUGUCCUAUGGGACGAAGGAAGUGACGGUACCAUAGGAGGAAGCCCCGGCUAACUACGUG